RNAcentral lists this unclassified non-coding RNA (433 nucleotides) under soil metagenome. RNAcentral's name for it is "partial contains 5.8S ribosomal RNA, internal transcribed spacer 2, and large subunit ribosomal RNA". The stretch from base 1 to 120 matches the Rfam family "5.8S ribosomal RNA", at positions 35 to 154 of the family's 154-position model. The record is from RNAcentral.
GAUGAAGAACGUAGCGAAAUGCGAUACGUAAUGUGAAUUGCAGAAUUCAGUGAAUCAUCGAAUCUUUGAACGCAUAUUGCGCUCUCUGGUAUUCCGGAGAGCAUGCUUGUUUGAGUAUCAGUAAACACCUCAACUCCCCUUUCUUUUUUUGAAAUGGGAGCUGGACUUGAGUGAUCCCAACGCUUUUCUCACCGAAAAGUGGCGGGUUACUUGAAAUGCAGGUGCAGCUGGACUUUUCUCUGAGCUAAAAGCAUAUCUAUUUAGUCUGCCUAAAAAACAGAUUAUUACCUUUGCUGCAGCUAACAUAAAGGAGAUUAGUUCUUGUGCUGACUGAUGCAGGAUUCACAGAGACAGCUUCGGUUGGCCUUUGUAAACUCGAUCUCAAAUCAAGUAAGACUACCCGCUGAACUUAAGCAUAUCAAUAAGCGGAGGA